AAUCAACGCUGGCGGCGUGCCUCAGACAUGCAAGUCGAACGAUUAAAGCUCUCUUCGGAGAGUGUAUAGAGUGGCGCACGGGUGAGUAACACGUAAGUAAUCUACCCUCGAGGUGGGGAAUAACGUCCGGAAACGGACGCUAAUACCGCAUAAUGCAGCGGCACCGCAAGGUGACAGUUAGUUAAAGGAGAAAUUCGCUUGGAGGAGGAGCUUGCGGCAGAUUAGCUUGUUGGUAAGGUAACGGCUUACCAAGGCUACGAUCUGUAACCGGUCUUAGA
Molecule: ribosomal RNA, 278 nt
Filed under: uncultured bacterium
Lineage: Bacteria
Description: partial 16S ribosomal RNA
Rfam family: Bacterial small subunit ribosomal RNA
Source: RNAcentral